RNAcentral lists this long non-coding RNA (316 nucleotides) under Urocitellus parryii (Arctic ground squirrel). RNAcentral's name for it is "lncRNA (ENSUPAG00010005083.1)". The record is from RNAcentral. Lineage: Eukaryota; Metazoa; Chordata; Mammalia; Rodentia; Sciuridae.
CUUUGGUUCUCAUCAUCAGAAGAAGAGGAGGAGGAGGAGGAAGGUCUGGACGACACCAAAAAUAAGCAGCCACAGAUAUUCUCUGAGGCUCAUCCGCAGAUGCUCAUAUCUCAAUCAUCUGGAGGGAAACAUUAUAGAGCAAAGGAGAAAGCAGUCGGACAUGACCAUGAUGUGGGAUCAAUCUGUUCUCACUCGAGGCGAUCACGAAAGUCUAAUCCAGUUACGCAAGAGAAUGCAGGAGAAGAGGAUGCACAAGAGGAACCAGCGUCCUACAGGGGUAYGAGAAACAAACCAUAGGUGUCCUARUGUGGUCCCU